Long non-coding RNA from Physeter macrocephalus (sperm whale), 300 nucleotides. RefSeq lists it as uncharacterized. The transcript has 3 exons. The record is from RefSeq and is a predicted model, not a curated record. Lineage: Eukaryota; Metazoa; Chordata; Mammalia; Artiodactyla; Physeteridae.
UAUCCUUAUAGGAAGAGGGAAAUUUGGACGCAGAUACCCAGGAGGAAUGCUGUGUGACUACUGAGGCAGAGAUUGGAGUUAUUCUGCAUCAAGCCGAGGAAUGCCAAGGAUUGCUGGCCACCAACAGAGGCCAGAAGAAAGUAUUUGGAAACCAAACUGAUAGAACUUGAGGGAAUCGGGAGUUUUCUGAAGAAAGUGGCUUCAUCAGAAUCAGAGGAUGAAGAGAUAAAGACAGGGACUUUUGGAGCCAUUUUGCCACUAAAAUGGAAGGAGCUUAAGAAUGGAGCCGACAAGAAGAGA